ACUAUGGGUUUUGUGUGCUUUGGGGGUACUAACUCUUCUCUAAAUGAAUAAAUAGAAGGUCAUAUUGACUUGACGAGACAGCGUACCAGAACAAUGGAUAGAGCUGGACUUGGGAGUUGAGAAGACUUGACUUUAAACCUUGCUUCAAACACUUUCCAUCUGUGUGACUGAAAAUAUGACUUCUAUCAGCCUCAAUGUUCCCAUGUAAAAUGGGAAUCAUAAUAGCAUUUCCCUCAGUGUCAUUCUCAAGAUCUGGAAUUCAGCAGAAGAGGACCAGAAAUUCAAUCAACUGUCAUUUGUCAUUCUCCUAUUAUGUGUCUGUCGCUGUUCUCCACUAUGAAUAAUACAGAAGAAUCAGGGGUGUUGUGGUAAAUGUUGAACAACUACCUCUUCAAAUAUUCUCAGAACAUUUAAAACUUUAAUCUGUAUUAUUAACAUUUCCCCCAAAACUUUCUUAAGGCUAGAAAUCAACAAAACAACAAAUCAGUUUCUGAUUUGUGGUAUUUGUUCAUUUCCAAAGUACAAAGUAUUUACACUGAAACUUUAACAAUCAGCAUUCUGGAGCUGGUUCGAGCUGGCUCCAGCACUCUCUAUGAAAAAGACACAUAUCCCUAUCACAAAACUUACCUCCAGUCUACUUAGGGAAGCAAAAACUAAGAAAUAAUACUAAUGAUAACAAAAAUAA
Long non-coding RNA from Monodelphis domestica (gray short-tailed opossum), 685 nucleotides. RefSeq lists it as uncharacterized. The record is from RefSeq and is a predicted model, not a curated record. Lineage: Eukaryota; Metazoa; Chordata; Mammalia; Didelphimorphia; Didelphidae.